RNAcentral lists this RNase P RNA (354 nucleotides) under Flavobacterium sp. Its description in RNAcentral is "RNase P RNA component class A". It matches the Rfam family "Bacterial RNase P class A". From Rfam's summary of the family: Ribonuclease P (RNase P) is a ubiquitous endoribonuclease, found in archaea, bacteria and eukarya as well as chloroplasts and mitochondria. Its best characterised activity is the generation of mature 5'-ends of tRNAs by cleaving the 5'-leader elements of precursor-tRNAs. Lineage: Bacteria; Pseudomonadati; Bacteroidota; Flavobacteriia; Flavobacteriales; Flavobacteriaceae. The record is from RNAcentral.
AGCGCAGACCGCCUUAUCGUCGUUCAGUCCCGAUAGCUAUCGGGGCGGGAGGGAGGAAAGUCCGGACACCAUAGAGAAGCAUAGCGGGUAACGCCCGUCGGUUCUCUCGUUUUUAGGAACGAGAGGAUUAGGACAAGUGCAGCAGAAAGUAUGUACAGGUAAUGCUGUAGUGAAACCAGGUAAACUCUAUGCGGUGAAAUACCAAGUAUAUCGGCAUUUAAGGGCUUCUCGUUCGUUGCCGAAGGGUAGGUAGAUUGAGUCCAGCAGUAAUGCUGGAUCUAGAUAAAUGAUAAGGUAUUGUCUUGUUGCAAAAUAAGACAAGAACAGAAUCCGGCUUACAGGUCUGCAUUUUUU